Molecule: ribosomal RNA, 527 nt
Filed under: uncultured Entrophospora
Lineage: Eukaryota; Fungi; Glomeromycota; Glomeromycetes; Entrophosporales; Entrophosporaceae
Description: SSU rRNA
Rfam family: Eukaryotic small subunit ribosomal RNA
Source: RNAcentral
CCAAUAGCGUAUAUUAAAGUUGUUGCAGUUAAAAAGCUCGUAGUUGAAUUUCGGGAUUGACACAUCGGUCGUGCCUUAAGGGGUAUGAACUGGUGUAGUCAAUUUCUCACCUUCUGGAGAACCGCGAUGCCCUUAAUUGGGUGUCGCGGGGAACCAGGACCUUUACUUUGAAAAAAUUAGAGUGUUUAAAGCAGGCAUUUUGCUUGAAUACAUUAGCAUGGAAUAAUAAAAUAGGACGGCAUGAUUCUAUUUUGUUGGUUUCUAGGAUCACCGUAAUGAUUAAUAGGGAUAGUUGGGGGCAGUAGUAUUCAAUUGUCAGAGGUGAAAUUCUUGGAUUUAUUGAAGACUAACUACUGCGAAAGCAUUUGCCAAGGAUGUUUUCAUUAAUCAAGAACGAAAGUUAGGGGAUCGAAGACGAUCAGAUACCGUCGUAGUCUUAACCAUAAACUAUGCCGACUAGGAAUCAGACGAUGUUAAUUUUUUAAUGACUCGUUUGGCACCUUACGGGAAACCAAAGUGUUUGGGUC